CCUCACCAGAGCUGAGGAGAGGGGAAGGAUCACCUCCCUUGGCCUGCUGGCAACACUUCUAAUGCAUCCCAAAAAUUCCCAUUAGCCUUUUUUGCAGAACUACGUGUAGAGCCCACACUUUUAACUUUGUUAGUAUAUUUAAGCCAUCGAAGCUAUUAUAAUGAGGAGUUCCUAAAGACACCAGCCAGCCUUACUGUCCAGGCUCCCCUGGGGCCUCCUCAGCCCUGCCCGUGCACACAGGACCCCAUUUCAGCUCAUCCCAGAACUGUUGUCCCAUAGGAGACAACAAGUAAGUGCCCAUAGGGGUGGCAGUUUGCAGCUGUGGCCCCACUUGCUCCUGUCUGGGGUCACCUCAGCUCCUACUUGUCCCCCUUCUAAGGCAGGCUGCUUUUGCUGCUUCCUAAAAAUAAUUAAGCAUUUUGAACAAGUGCUGUUAUCUUCACUUACUAAACAUUGGUAACAAAUUGUUUAAAAUAGUGAGAAUUUUUUUCAUAUUAGUAUAAAGAAAGGGAGGAAGAAAUUUUUGUUUUGCAAAAGCUUAAUCAUUCUUUUUCAUUUUCUUUGAUUACUAGGUUGAUAUUUAGAUUAGCAACUAAUUCUGGCAUAUCUCAUAUUAUGGUGUGACCGACCAAUAGACCCCUACAAUGGAAGAAGGCUCAGAGGAAAUGGCCAAUGUGCCCAAAAAGCUCAGGCAAUAAUGUAAGGUGUGACUGACCAAAGCUGUUGCAAAGAAAGCUGACUUUGUAUCGACAUAGAGGGAACUGGAUGGUGGCCUUUGCUUUAGAUAAACAGCUAUGUCAUUUGAGUGGAGCAGCUAGCGGUGUAAAAGUUUCUUCCUGACUUCAUUAAAAGGCUGUGAAUAUCUCCCUGAGUUAACCAGACGGUAUGAAGGUAGUAUACUUGGCUCAGCCCAACAUAGAGUAUAAAAACAGGACAACUAGCAGAAGAAUUUUUAAGAGAGCAAUGGGUUUGAGCUGUUUUCAACACAUGUAUUCCUUCCUGGUGACUGGGAACAGCCGGUAUCAUGAUGGCUCAUCAGAGUUAUGGCUCCUGACUUAGAGAGUAUUAAUCACCACUGGGAGAGCACCACCAGGGUAAAGUGACAACGCCGACACACUUCUGCUGCUGUGUUUUAUGAAGAAGGUCAGUAUUACCUUUAUUGCAUUGGCAUUUGUAAGACAGCAAUUCUACACUUAGAUUUUUUGAAGUGUCAAGGACAUGAAUCUAUUAACUGGGUAUGUGAAGACUGCCUCAAAUUUCCUUGCAGAACUUUUUAUUAAGAUAUGUACACAUCUUUGUUGUACCUACAUGUGAUCUAGGAACAAUAGUAGUUUCACAGAUCUAUUAGAUUGCUAAAAGUGACAUUAUGAUUAACUCUACACAUUUUUUUUGUUUCUUUCAUUAAUGUUUGAAUUGCUAGAAUCAUACCCACUGAUACACCGGUAAAUGAAAAGGUAGGUACAUCUAGCAACUUGACAUUCACAUCAGGGAAAAGGUAUUGCCUACAUUAGACAUGUAUACUCUUUACUUAUAUUUAGCCUGACUGAACAUCUAGCUGCAGCAAUAUAAAAUUAACAUGAAAAUAAAGUCCUGGAUUAUGUUUAUGAAUGAAAUAGG
Anser cygnoides (Swan goose) is the source of this 1617-nucleotide long non-coding RNA. The record is from Ensembl. NCBI's taxonomy places the organism in Eukaryota, Metazoa, Chordata, Aves, Anseriformes, Anatidae.